UGGUUCUGGCAUCGAUGAAGAACGCAGCGAAACGCGAUAGGUAAUGUGAAUUGCAGAAUUCAGCGAAUCAUCGAAUCUUUGAACGCACAUUGCGCCCUUUGGUAUUCCGAGGGGCAUGUCUGUUCGAGCGUCAUUACAACUCUCAAGCAUUUGCUUGGUAUUGGGCUCCGUUGAAAAACGAGCCUGAAAAAUAGAGGCAAUCCGGCAAGAUUCCGGGCGUAGUAAAUUUUCGCCUCAGGAGUUCUUGAAGGAUUUGCCAUUUCUUCUACUCUAAGUUUGACCUCGAAUCAGACAAGAAUACCCGCUGA
RNAcentral lists this unclassified non-coding RNA (308 nucleotides) under uncultured fungus. Its description in RNAcentral is "partial contains 5.8S ribosomal RNA and internal transcribed spacer 2". The stretch from base 1 to 133 matches the Rfam family "5.8S ribosomal RNA", at positions 22 to 154 of the family's 154-position model. The record is from RNAcentral. Lineage: Eukaryota; Fungi.